RNAcentral lists this non-coding RNA (25 nucleotides) under Mus musculus (house mouse). The record is from RNAcentral. Lineage: Eukaryota; Metazoa; Chordata; Mammalia; Rodentia; Muridae.
UGGUUAACUUGUCUCUCAUCUGAUU